Molecule: long non-coding RNA, 1109 nt
Organism: Beta vulgaris subsp. vulgaris (sugar beet)
Lineage: Eukaryota; Viridiplantae; Streptophyta; Magnoliopsida; Caryophyllales; Amaranthaceae
Exons: 2
Source: RefSeq, a predicted model, not a curated record
AAUUUGACUCAUUUUCAAUUUUGACUCACAUAAUAUUCCAGAGUACAACUAAAGUACUCCACAAGACCACAACAUUACCUUUAACACCAAAAACAGGCAAAAAAAAUAAAAAAGGUGAUACUACAUAUCUUAACACACAAAAAAAAAAAAAAAAAAAUUCAAAGGUAAGUCCAGGGGUGAAGAACCUUUGAAAACAUCACCCCUCUCCAAAGUCCAAACUCCCACCUCUUGAAACUCCCACAGUUUCCAAAUUGAUCAAGUUGUGUUGUGUUAUCAGUGUAUGUUAAAAUUUGUCAGUAUACCCCACUUCAUUAGGAAGUUCACUGCAUCCAACCCCAACAUUUCUCUCUCUUUUCCCUACUUUACCAAGUUAACCCAACCAAACACAUCCUUAUAAAACCUUCUACUUUCCAUUCUUUCCUUUUUCCCUUGUUCUUUCUUCUUCCUUUUUUCUAUAAUUAAAAAUUCCCACUUUUUUAUAAAUUUCAAAGCUUUAAUAUUUACCCAUAUUUCCUCUUCUGGGUUUGAUUUAUUUUUAAGUUUUUCUUUGGAUUUAAUUGGUUUUUCAGUCUCUAAUUCUAUGCAAUAUUAAAUAAUUAAAAAAAGCAUCUUGCAGAAGGUGAGAAGAGGAGGUGAAAGAAUUGAGAUGCAAAAUUUCUCACAUUUUGAGAAAUUAUCAUUCUUUGAUUGCUUUCUAUCUCAGGAAAUCUUGUUCCAACAAUAUCACAGAGUUGGAUUGCAUCAUCAAACUUGGAGUUCUUGUCCAUACAUUGAUAUUACUCAAAUUGAAGAGAUUAAAUCAGCCCACAUUUAGUAUGAAGUUUUGAUCAAAAUCUGGUUUACAUUUUUGGUAGUGAUAUUUUUCUGGGUGUUUUUGGCAUCAGAAUUUGAUUUCACAAGCUCAAACCCAAAAAUAAAGUUCCUGGAAUAGUAAUUUGACAAUUUGGUGAUCUGAAGGAUUUGUGAUUUUCAGUUGUGAUUACUUUGAGAUUGUUUAUUAGAUGAUUGGUGAAUUCCCUGAAACACAUUGGAAAUUGCCAAACAGUUUGUUUACAUUGCGAAAUCAUUGCUCGAAAACCGGAGACAUGGAGCCUAGAGUGAGGAAAAAU